Amblyraja radiata (thorny skate) is the source of this 118-nucleotide long non-coding RNA. RefSeq lists it as uncharacterized. The record is from RefSeq and is a predicted model, not a curated record. The transcript has 5 exons. Lineage: Eukaryota; Metazoa; Chordata; Chondrichthyes; Rajiformes; Rajidae.
CCGGAUGGAAGGUUGAGCCAAACCAUGAACCAUGCCGAAAAUCCGGCGGCGCCAGGCUGUGGGGAUGAUGGGUCUUGGCUGCCCGUCAGAGGGUAAUGUUGAUGCUUUUGCACCGACC